RNAcentral lists this long non-coding RNA (203 nucleotides) under Setaria italica (foxtail millet). RNAcentral describes it as "long non-coding RNA (SITA_LNC000017)". The record is from RNAcentral. Lineage: Eukaryota; Viridiplantae; Streptophyta; Magnoliopsida; Poales; Poaceae.
UGAAAGCCAGCCUUUAUGCCACUGGACAGUGGCGUUGCCAUGUACCGCGUGGCAAAAGACCUGCAGCCUGUUCGCUUCAGCUUAUUCAACUGGCUUAUCAGUCACCAAACAGUGUUUUCCUCUCACAAUAAAUCAGCCGUUUCAGCUUUUCAGCCGGCUUAUAAGCUGAAGCGAACAGGCCCCUGGCCAUUAUUGUGUCCUUC